GGAGAGGUGUCCGAGUGGUUUAAGGAGCCGCUCUCGAAAAGCGGUGCGGUCUUUCAUAGGCUGCCGCGAGUUCGAAUCUCGCCCUCUCCGCCA
RNAcentral lists this transfer RNA (93 nucleotides) under Candidatus Dojkabacteria bacterium. RNAcentral describes it as "tRNA-Ser". It matches the Rfam family "tRNA". From Rfam's summary of the family: Transfer RNA (tRNA) molecules are approximately 80 nucleotides in length. Their secondary structure includes four short double-helical elements and three loops (D, anti-codon, and T loops). The record is from RNAcentral.